GGAAGGGAGGAAGCGUAGAAGGUGCCGAUGCACUUUUCCUCUCUCCAGCCCUCCUGACUGCUCCAAGAAUUUCAUCGAACAAGACUCAAAGAGGCCCAGCUGCUCUGCGUUUUGAUUCUUCUCCCUCUCUCAGUCCACACUGACCUGGGAGGGGCUUCUCAAACACCACAUUUCCUAGCGUGCUGUGAGAAGAGGACUGUGAGCUAAGAAGGGAGAAAAGGCACUCCCUCCUCAUCAACAAACACCUGACCUGGGUAGACCCUCUGCUUACCAAGAUCCAGUCCACCUUUUGACAUCAGCAUUCAUGCUGCCUCUUUUUACGAACCAAGCCAAAGUGGUCCCUUCCUCUGGAAAUUAUAGGAUACUUAAUGUACAUCAUAUCCAGCUUCCCGACUCCAGACUGUGGGAGAUGACACAGAGCCAGCCUGCCUGGAUGUGACUCAGCUCUGCAACUUAUUAAAGACCUUUGGCAAAUCA
This 477-nucleotide long non-coding RNA is filed under the name Homo sapiens (human). RNAcentral's name for it is "non-protein coding lnc-TXLNB-3:1". The record is from RNAcentral. Lineage: Eukaryota; Metazoa; Chordata; Mammalia; Primates; Hominidae.